AUCUGGCCAUGAGAGGAUAUACUGUGGAUCAGUUGGGAAGCAAUGUGUGCGCUGCUAUAAUAUACUGUUAAUUUGUCUGAGAAGGAGAAUCCUAUUGUUGCGGUGAAGCUAUCCUUUUUCAAAACUUGUUCCAACUGUGUAUUGUAUUUUAUCAAUAGACCUGAAAUAUAUCAGUCUCGACUACCCGCUGCAUUUAUGCAUAUUAUUAGGCGGAGGAAAAGAGAAUAAUUAUGAUUCCCUCAGUAAAGGCGAGUGUAACGGGAUCGGCUCAAAGUAAAAAACGCGGGCACUCGUUUCGCCCCGCUAGUCGUAGCCUUUAGAGGCGUUACCAAAGGAGGAGGAGAUCCAAGUGUCUUGGAACAGAACUUCAGAGGGUGACAGUCCCGUCCUUUGCCCUGCAUCUUUUGUUUCCACGUACGGUUCUUUUUUAUUGGGUUGCAUUCAUUGGGAUUUAAGCGCAAAAUAUAUUAUAAGUUUUCCGUAAAGCUAAAUAUUGGCGCGAGACCGAUAGCGAACAAGAACUGUGAAGGAAGGAUGAAAACACGUUAGAAGAAAGUUAAAAGUACCUGAAAAUGCAGGAAGGGAAGCGACUGAAAUUUUUACAUCUCUCGGGUGUCCCUAGGUGUUUUGAAUCUCUUCCGCUUUUUUUCGUCAUAAAAGUUUGGAGUUUUAGAUUCUUCCUUUUUCCCCAGUUGAUUCCUUGAGCUUGGUCAGCAUCAGCAGGUAAGCAUCAAUUCUUCCCAUGGAAGGUAAGGCCCUUGUGGGCUGUUAUAGCCUCGGGUUAUUUUGUUAGCCUACCUGCUCAGGUGUGUUCUUGCGCGUUCUUCGUUGUCUUUGCUUCUUACCGGCCUCUUUUAAACAUACCCUGGAAUAAGAUUAUCUGAAGGUAGGGCUGACUGGAUGGUAAAGCUUCCUGGCUUUCAGGAAGUCCGGUGGGCUCCUGACUGCCCUUGAAAAGAAGGGAAAGUUGUUAUUUGCACCGCUGGCCAUACCAUUAACCGCAUCAGGUUUCCAACGUUAGAACACUGGCCGAUAGAAUAAAGUAGAAAAAAAAGUCGGAAAGAUAUAUCCGCAACUCCGAAAAGAAAAUUGGCGCUGAGGGGUGGUGAGGUAUUCUGCCAUUGUGUGCUUCGUUGGUCGGAGCUUUGCUGGCCCUUUCGUGCCUCGCGGCGGUUUGUAGAUCGCUGGCUCUGACUGCGUUGUGACCGUUGGUUUGCGUGUACACUGAACAGAUAACUCAGAACUGGAGCUGACAAGCGGAAUCCGACAUUUUAAUUAAAACAAAGUACUGCAGUGGUCGCAAACGGCGUUGCGGCAUUAAGCGUUUUGGCCAGUGCUCUGAAGGUCAAUGUAAUGAAAGUCAAUCAAGUGCGGGUUAACGGCGGAUAUAACUAUGACUUUCUUAAGGUAGCGAAAGGCUUCGUCAUCUAAUUACUGACGUGCACGAAAGAAUUAAAGAGAUUCACACUGUCCCUAUCUACUAUCUAGAAAACCCACAAAAACCAAGGGAACAGGCUCGGCGGAAACACGCCAAAGAAGCAUCUUCUGCAUGCAGUACCUCCCUCGAAGUGGAAAAGUAGAGACUACGAAGAGGGAAAAACCAAAAUAGGAUUAGGGAGCGUGUCCAGAAACGCUGCUACUGUUUGCUGUUAUGCAGAAACUUCCUGCGCAGCCGCUAGCCUCCUUGUGGCCGAAAGAGACUUUUUGAAAAUUAGCGGGGAAAGAAGAUCCUGUUGAGCUUGACUCUAGUCCGACAUUGUGGAAUGACUUGCAGGGUGUAAAACAGAUGGAAGCUUCGGAGAUUAAAAAACGAUACCACGCCCCUCAGUGGCGUUUUACUUAUUUCUUCAAGUUGAUACGCAUGCUCUGCAUGUGAAAUUUACCUUAAGGCGCCUUCUGGCGCUUAUCAAUGCGAAAGACACAAUCAGGUGGGGAGUUUAGCUGGAACAGCACAUCUGUAAAACAACAUUUUAGGUGUCCUAAUGCAAGCUCAAUGGGAACAGAAAUCUCACGCUGACCACAAGAGCAAAAGUCUGCUUGAUAUUGAUUUUCAGUACGAAUACAAACUGGGAAAAGCAUAGCCUAUCGAUUCUUUGGUUUGAGAAACUUUCAGCUAGAGGUGUGGGAAAAGUUUUCGCAGGGAUCACUGGCUUAUAGCAGCUAAGUGUUCAUAGCGACGUUUCCUUUUGAUCCUUCGAUGUCGGAUCUUUCUAUCAAUGAGACGCAGAAGCCUCAAAGUGUCGGAUUGUUCACCUGCCAAUAGGGAACGUGUGCUGGGUUUAGACCGUCGCGAGGCAGGUUCGUUUUCUUAUACCGAUGAAUUCGAUACUGCGACAGUAAUCCAAUUAAGUACGAGAAGAACAGUUGGUUCAGAUACUUGGUUAGUGCGGCUAGCUGAAAAGCUAGUGUCGCGACGCCACGUGUUGAUUAUGCCUCAACGGUUCGAAGUUAGAAUCCAUGCUGAAUGGCCAGUGUUUCUCACCGCCUCAUUAGUCACUUGCAAUUCCUUUUAGUGCGUCUUUGGCACUCCUUUUCACCAACGCCCUCUGCGUCACCGUCUGGCAGCCAAUCGCAAUUUCUUGCAUCUGAGGUGC
Molecule: ribosomal RNA, 2594 nt
Filed under: Eimeria falciformis
Lineage: Eukaryota; Apicomplexa; Conoidasida; Eucoccidiorida; Eimeriidae
Description: eukaryotic LSU rRNA
Rfam family: Eukaryotic large subunit ribosomal RNA
Source: RNAcentral